Molecule: long non-coding RNA, 1100 nt
Organism: Arachis stenosperma
Lineage: Eukaryota; Viridiplantae; Streptophyta; Magnoliopsida; Fabales; Fabaceae
Exons: 6
Source: RefSeq, a predicted model, not a curated record
CCCACCCAUUCCCCCUAGCACCUACUCCGCCCCCAAUACGUGAAUCCAUAUAUCACUAUUCCCUGAACGCUGAACCCAAAUCAAACUCACCCUACCAAAACCCUAAGUUCUCCCUGCAACGGUUCUGCCGCGGUGCCGCCGCCGUCCGUGCUGUCGACGCCUCUGCUUCCCCUCUUGUAGUUCGGCGUCCUCUUUCCCCUGUCCCCGUCCUCCCCGGAUUCUCUCGAACUUGGAGCAGCUUGCGGCUGUGUCGCCACUCGCUGUCGUCGCGCCGGGCGCCGUCCAUGUCGCCGUCGAAGGCGAACUUCUGUUAGGUAAACCACCCGUAACAUGAGGUUACUAAUCUUUCUCUUCUUCCGCCAUCAAAAUUUGAUGGCUAUUACUAAAAGGUAUUUUUUUUUCUUUUCAUUGUUUAGUUUUCUUAUUAUAUUUUGUUUUGAGGCAUUCAGGUUCAAAAGUCAGUAAGUAGCAAGAAUUUUGUGAUCACAUAUCUUCUAGAGCUUCCAGAGCCGUUUAGUGUCAUUUUCACAUGGUUUGCCGCUGUUCCCCUCCUUGUGUGAUUGGCUCGGUCACUUACAAGUGCUAUUAUAAAGGAUUCCUUGAUUCUAGAGGGUCCCUGUCCUAACUGUGGUACUGAAAAUCCACAUACUUCAUUCUUGCGUACUAUACUUUCUAUUUCAAGUGGGGAUUCCACCAAUAAAGUCAAAUGUGAAAAGCAACUGUGGUACCGCAUUGGUGUAUGAUUCAACUACAAGAUUGAUUACAAUACCAGAAUGAAGCAGUUCCUAAGUGGAGUACGUGAAGAUAUAUAUAAGACACACAAAUGGGUAGUGACUAAUUUUAUCAGUGGCAAGCCAUGAUUCUGCCUGAUAGAUACAUUGAGGAUAGAACUCAGUAGGAUCAAACUCAAGCAGCGGGGUUGAGUUCAAACCUUUUCGCAGCUACUGCUUUGUCAUUAACCAACAUUUUUUUUGUGUGUAUUUUAUUAUUUUGGUCCCACCAACAUUUUUUAACUAAAAUAUCACCUUAUAUUAGCCAAAUUAUAUCACAUUACUUUCACAUAUAUUAUUCUACUUUUAUCAUUGAAUCCGCCAAUAAUA